GACCGACCAAAUCCCUCUGGAACUGCCACCAUUGCUGAACGGAGAGGUAGCCAUGAUGCCCCACUUGGUGAAUGGAGAUGCAGCUCAGCAGGUUAUUCUCGUUCAAGUUAAUCCAGGUGAGACUUUCACAAUAAGAGCAGAGGAUGGAACACUUCAGUGCAUUCAAGGACCUGCUGAAGUUCCCAUGAUGUCACCCAAUGGAUCCAUUCCUCCCA
This 215-nucleotide unclassified non-coding RNA is filed under the name Hevea brasiliensis (rubber tree). The record is from RNAcentral. Lineage: Eukaryota; Viridiplantae; Streptophyta; Magnoliopsida; Malpighiales; Euphorbiaceae.